GCCACUUCAUUAAUAUUUCAAGGCCACAAACUAAGUAUCUCAUUGUCAUAAAUUAUUAUGAUACCAUACCAGUGGCCAUGAAUUGUGUAACCUGAGCCCAAGGCUUAAUAUGUUGUACUAGAUGUUUUGCGAGAUUUGAGAUUUGAGAUCUGAGAUUUUAGCAUAGAUGUUCGUGUCGCACAUCAUAAAAGACAAUCUUAGCAGCUGUUAAUUUUAUUUGUUGUAUUUUAAUUUUUGACACUAUUUUCUUCCUCCGGGUUUAAAAUCAUAAUCAUGGGGCACGUCACGGUACUAUAGUACUUCGAUGAUGCAUCGGUGUCUCAUAAUUAUUCAUGAGCCUUCGUGCUCUUAUCCUAUGAGAAGAUGCUGUCUCUUAAUUAUUCAUGACAGCACGUGGUGCUUUCCUACAGAUGUACUAGAUGAGAGAGCCGUUCAAAUGGGUCGCAAGUGUUUGUUUCAGUGGAGAGCUAUGCGAACUGGAGAAAGGUGGACUUGCUCAUGAAAGCAGUUUGCGUCUACACAAUGAUGCGGUACUCAGUCCCAAGGACUUUUCCAUUCCUUAAAAUGAGCAAUUUGCGUCACAGUGUCUCCUCUGUGGGAUCAGACCAGACAGGCUAACCUUCCCUCACCACAUGCAUCAAUGAGCCUUGGGUGCCCCUGACUCUGUUGCUGGUUCACCAGUUGUCCUUCCUUGGACCACUUUUGGUUGGUACCAACCACUGUAUACCGGGAAUACCCCACAAGACCUGCUGUUUUGGAAAUGCUUUGACAAAGUCAUCUAGCCAUCACAAUUUGGCCCUUGUCAAAGUCACCUAGAUUCUUAUACUUGCCCAUUUUUCUUGCUUCCAACACAUCACCUUCAAUAAUGACUGUUCACUUGCUGCCUAAUAUAUCCCACCCCUUGACAGGUGCCACUGUAGUGAGAUAAUCAUGAAUAAAUGUUAUUCAAAUCACUGGUCAGUGGUUUUAAUGUUAUGGCUGAUUGGCUAUAUACACAUAUA
Long non-coding RNA from Ictalurus punctatus (channel catfish), 1001 nucleotides. NCBI's taxonomy places the organism in Eukaryota, Metazoa, Chordata, Actinopteri, Siluriformes, Ictaluridae. The record is from Ensembl.